UAUUUUUAUUUUUUAAUAUUUUUGGUUUAAUUUAAAAUUAUUUUAAUUCGUGUUGGUAAUUUCCUUAGAUUUAUUCUCUUUUACACGCAUAAUGCUUGUGGUGAGCCGUGCAGUUUUCAAUACCAAUGACUAACGCAUGCGCAUUAGUGUAAAAGCGAUUCUUCACCAUUGAUCUUAGUAUAGGCUGGAUUACGCAUUGAAUCGACAUGUAGAUGUCAACAUUGAACUCCAUCUCAAAUUCGAAAGGGAAAACAAUUUCUUUGAAACACAAAGUUGUUCUGAAUACGGUGAAGUUUUAUUCACUGUAAAUUAAAUACAAACUAAAUGAGUUGAAACGCAGUUCAUCUCGAAAUUAGUUCGAAAUUUGAUGCAAUCAACUGCUUGAACUAUCAUCUUCAGAAUGGAAAAUGGCGACUUAAAUAUUGUUAAGCCCUUAAAAAAAUGGUGUUGACAACUUGCUCAUCGUUUUAGUAUGUUUUUACGGUACUAAAGAACCUUUACGUCCACAACACGUUGACAGAUGUCUUGCUGUGAAACAAGAAAAAAUGAGAGUCCCCCAUUGGCCAUGUCAAGAAACAGUGGCUGCUGCAGAAGUCAAUGAUAAAUCAAUUAGGAACUGGAUAAAUGAACAAUUGUAAUUUAUAUAGUCAAUCAAUUUUAUCUAUUUUAUUUGUUGUACCAAGAACAUGUUGUAUAUAUUUAUGUAUUGAAUGAAAAGAGAAUGCCCAACAUUUUACUUCUCAACCUUUUAAAAAGUUUUUAUGGUUCAAAGACAA
Long non-coding RNA from Xenia sp. Carnegie-2017, 776 nucleotides. RefSeq lists it as uncharacterized. NCBI's taxonomy places the organism in Eukaryota, Metazoa, Cnidaria, Anthozoa, Malacalcyonacea, Xeniidae. The transcript is spliced from 2 exons. The record is from RefSeq and is a predicted model, not a curated record.